RNAcentral lists this microRNA precursor (127 nucleotides) under Octodon degus (degu). Its description in RNAcentral is "miRNA (ENSODEG00000021995.1)". Lineage: Eukaryota; Metazoa; Chordata; Mammalia; Rodentia; Octodontidae. The record is from RNAcentral.
GGUUUCUCUAUGCAGCUCAGGCUGGCCUUGAGCUCACUUUGUAGCCCAGGCUGGCCUUGAACUCACAGCGAUGCUCCUGCCUCAGCCUCCUGAGUGCUGGGAUUAUAGGAGUGUGCCACCACGCUCG